UGGGGAAUUUUGGGACAAUGGGGGAAACCCGUGAUCCAGCCAUCCCCGCGUGUGCGAUGAAGGCCUUCGGGUUGUAAAGCACUUUUGGCAGGAAAGAAACGUCGCGGGUUAAUACCCCGCGAAACUGACGGUACCUGCAGAAUAAGCACCGGCUAACUACGUGCCAGCAGCCGCGGUAAUACGUAGGGUGCAAGCGUUAAUCGGAAUUACUGGGCGUAAAGCGUGCGCAGGCGGUUCGGAAAGAAAGAUGUGAAAUCCCAGAGCUUAACUUUGGAACUGCAUUUUUAACUACGGGCUAGAGUGUGUCAGAGGGAGGUGGAAUUCCGCGUGUAGCAUGAAAUGCGUAGAUAUGCGGNGGAACACCGAUGGCGAAGGCAGCCUCCUGGGAUAACACUGACGCUCAUGCACGAAAGCGUGGGGAGCAAACAGGAUUAGAUACCCCC
Molecule: ribosomal RNA, 443 nt
Filed under: uncultured bacterium
Lineage: Bacteria
Description: partial 16S ribosomal RNA
Rfam family: Bacterial small subunit ribosomal RNA
Source: RNAcentral